RNAcentral lists this ribosomal RNA (420 nucleotides) under uncultured bacterium. RNAcentral describes it as "bacterial SSU rRNA". It matches the Rfam family "Bacterial small subunit ribosomal RNA", at positions 355 to 772 of the family's 1533-position model. The record is from RNAcentral.
UGGGGAAUAUUGGACAAUGGGGGCAACCCUGAUCCAGCCACGCCGCGUGAGUGAUGAAGGCCUUCGGGUCGUAAAGCUCUGUGGGGAGAGACGAACGUCCGGCAUGACCUGUCGGGGUGACGGUAUCUCCUUAGCAAGCACCGGCUAACUUCGUGCCAGCAGCCGCGGUAAUACGAAGGGUGCAAACGUUGCUCGGAAUCAUUGGGCGUAAAGCGCACGUAGGCGGCUUCGCAAGUCGGAUGUGAAAUCCCUCGGCUCAACCGAGGACGUGCACCCGAAACUGCGGGGCUUGAGUACUGAAGAGGAUCGCGGAAUUCCCGGUGUAGAGGUGAAAUUCGUAGAUAUCGGGAGGAACACCAGUGGCGAAGGCGGCGAUCUGGGCAGAUACUGACGCUGAGGUGCGAAAGCGUGGGGAGCAAA